Molecule: ribosomal RNA, 388 nt
Filed under: Ips hoppingi
Lineage: Eukaryota; Metazoa; Arthropoda; Insecta; Coleoptera; Curculionidae
Description: partial 16S ribosomal RNA
Source: RNAcentral
CUUUAUCUUCGAUUAGAACUCUAAGAAAAAAUUACGCUGUUAUCCCUAAGGUAAUUUUUCUUUUAAUCUUUAUUAAAGGAUCAUUAAAUUAAGCACUUAUUUAUGUAAAAAUAAAAAAAAAGUUAAAUAAAUUUUUUAAUCACCCCAAUUAAAUAUUUAUUUUUAAAAAAAUAAUAAACAAUUCCUCUUUUUAAUUUUAAAAAUAAAUAUCAAACUCUAUAGGGUCUUCUCGUCUUUUAUAAAAAUUUAAGCUUUUUAACUUAAAAAUAAAAUUCAAAAAAUUAAAAUUGAGACAGUUAUUUUCUCAUCAAACCUUUCAUUCCAGCUUUCAAUUAAAAAACUAAUGAUUAUGCUACCUUAGCACAGUCAAAAUACUGCGGCCGUUUAA